Long non-coding RNA from Pseudophryne corroboree (corroboree frog), 1109 nucleotides. RefSeq lists it as uncharacterized. The record is from RefSeq and is a predicted model, not a curated record. The transcript has 4 exons. Lineage: Eukaryota; Metazoa; Chordata; Amphibia; Anura; Myobatrachidae.
CAAUGUGAUAUCCUACAUGAAUAGUGAAUACCGACUGAAGUUGCCAUCUGGCAUAGAGGAUACAUAUCUUCAGAGGUUCCUCAUUGUGAGAACCAUCAUAUAGUACGCCAGAGAAGCAGCACAGCCAGGCCACAGCCAACACUGCCUAGAGCUGAUGAUGGUGGGAAUGCAGGUUCUUCGUCUGUUCCGCCUCCACUAAGGCACCCAUCACAGGGCAGCGUUACUGUGGCUACAAGGCCACCCAAGAGGGCCCGUGUUCAUGCUCCAGCUCCUGCACCAGCAUCACCACCCAAAAGGCGCAUCUCAGCAGUGUCUGCCGUGCCACCACUCGCUCUUUUGGCCAGCCCCCAAAGUGAGGAUCCACAAUCCCCACAGUUGUCUGCCAUCAUGAGCGACGAUGUCCAGCAGGACCGUGCCCAGGAGACCUUUACACUCCACCUGCAGCCCAUCGAUCCAACACAGGCAAACAUGCCUCAGGACAUACCCCAACCACCUCAAACAUCCCAAAGCCCCCAAAUGAGCACAACACCAGGACCAACACAAAUGGACCAAGAGUUUUGGUCAGGCUGGGCCUCACAACAGGCACAACACUACGCGUGCCUCACCACCCAAACACAAUACCUGUCAAGUCUGCCCCAUCAUUUGCCAAGAGUGAGUCGCAACUCAGGCAGACUCAUAGUGCAGGUGGGCUGAAUUGCAAACACUAUGGAGCAGAUGAGGGCAGACAACACCCAAAUGCAGGCUAACCUUCAGCGCAUCUUGGAUGAUCAACAGCGGCAGCAGCAAACUUUAAUCCAGAUGAUCCAGCAUAACCAAUUAAUCAAUGACAAUCUGUCGCGAAUGACUGGAAACAACACUGCCGCUUAUACACAGCUAACGGCAAGUUUGAAUAUUUUAAGCCAAAAUCUAAGUGUGUUGGGCCCACACCAUGUGACCUCCAGCUCAGGAACAACAACCCCAAGCCAAACCCCAGUUCAAUCCCCAGUUCGACGUUCAAGUCGAAGCCGCACCCACGAGCCACCACAAUCCUCUGCACCCAGCACCCAAAAACGUAAAAAUAAUAUUGACUGGCCAGAAUAUGGUGUCCAUUUAAUUAUUUAAAUUCUCUG